Molecule: ribosomal RNA, 253 nt
Filed under: uncultured bacterium
Lineage: Bacteria
Description: partial 16S ribosomal RNA
Rfam family: Bacterial small subunit ribosomal RNA
Source: RNAcentral
UACAGAGGGGGCAAGCGUUAUUCGGAAUUAUUGGGCGUAAAGGGCGCGUAGGCGGCCUGGCAAGUGGAAGGUGAAAUCCCUCGGCUUAACCGAGGAACUGCCUCCCAAACUGCUUGGCUUGAGACCAGGAGAGGUGAGUGGAAUUCCCAGUGUAGCGGUGAAAUGCGUAGAUAUUGGGAGGAACACCUGUGGCGAAAGCGGCUCACUGGACCACAACUGACGCUGAGGCGCGAAAGCUAGGGGAGCAAACAGG